CUUUCCUUGAUGACGACUGGCGCACGGGUGAGUAACGCGUAUCCAACCUUCCCAUAACUACGGGAUAACCCGUUGAAAGACGGCCUAAUACCGUAUGACAUAGUUUGCUGACAUCAAAUAACGAUUAAAGGUUUAGCGGUUAUGGAUGGGGAUGCGUCUGAUUAGCUUGUUGGCGGGGUAACGGCCCACCAAGGCGACGAUCAGUAGGGGUUCUGAGAGGAAGGUCCCCCACAUUGGAACUGAGACACGGUCCAAACUCCUACGGAGGCAGCAGCG
RNAcentral lists this ribosomal RNA (276 nucleotides) under uncultured Prevotella sp. Its description in RNAcentral is "partial 16S ribosomal RNA". It matches the Rfam family "Bacterial small subunit ribosomal RNA", at positions 79 to 356 of the family's 1533-position model. Lineage: Bacteria; Pseudomonadati; Bacteroidota; Bacteroidia; Bacteroidales; Prevotellaceae. The record is from RNAcentral.